This 622-nucleotide long non-coding RNA is filed under the name Medicago truncatula (barrel medic). RNAcentral describes it as "long non-coding RNA (MTRU_LNC002514)". The record is from RNAcentral. Lineage: Eukaryota; Viridiplantae; Streptophyta; Magnoliopsida; Fabales; Fabaceae.
UCUUCUUCUUUUUUAACUUUGAUAUCAAUGCUCCAAGAUUUAUAUUUCCUUUAUGUUGUGACUUUGAUGAAUCAAAUGUUCAGACAAAGAUUGUUUAGUUUUUUUAUUCUUUUUUCUUCAUAUUUUUUUUUCUUUGAUAUCAAUGUUCCAAGAGUAAUAUUUCCUUCAUGCUGCGAUUUUGAUGAAUCAAAUGUUCACAUAAAAAGUAGUUUCUUCGUCUCUCCUAUAAAAAAAAUUAUUCAUCUCUCCUUUAUUUUUUUUCAUGUGACUUAUUUUUUUUUUCCUUAUGCUUUUAUGACAUUGUUAUGCUUUUUUGUUUUCGUUAUUAUUCUAUUUAAAUUUAUGGAUGGUUUAUAAAUGAAUACUAUAGUUUUUAUUUUUACUUUUGUGGUUCCUAUGCAUACAGGGUAUUGAAUCAAGAAAUCACGAACAAGCACAAAAAAUAAGAAUAUGGAGAUAUUAUUUUAUAGAUGAAACCGAUUAUAUGAUGGUUGAGUUCAAGACAACAUAUUCUUCACACGAGGGCCUAGGGGAAAAAAAGAUGACAUUAUGACAAACUUUGAGAUUCCAAAGAAAUUAGUCGUUCUUAGAAAAUAAUCUAGAUAAAUUUUUUACUAUGAUG